UACGUAGGGUGCGAGCGUUGUCCGGAAUUAUUGGGCGUAAAGAGCUUGUAGGUGGUUUGUCGCGUUGUUCGUGAAAACUCACAGCUUAACUGUGGGCGUGCGGGCGAUACGGGCAGACUGGAGUACUGCAGGGGAGACUGGAAUUCCUGGUGUAGCGGUGAAAUGCGCAGAUAUCAGGAGGAACACCGGUGGCGAAGGCGGGUCUCUGGGCCGAUACUGACGCUGAGGAGCGAAAGCGUGGGGAGCGAACAGG
This 253-nucleotide ribosomal RNA is filed under the name uncultured bacterium. RNAcentral's name for it is "partial 16S ribosomal RNA". It matches the Rfam family "Bacterial small subunit ribosomal RNA", at positions 524 to 776 of the family's 1533-position model. The record is from RNAcentral.